Molecule: ribosomal RNA, 1470 nt
Filed under: metagenome
Description: bacterial SSU rRNA
Rfam family: Bacterial small subunit ribosomal RNA
Source: RNAcentral
UUAAGACAUGCAAGUCGCACGAAUCGCUUAAUUGGGUAACCGAGCAAGUGGUUAGUGGCGAAAGGGUGAGUAAUGCAUAGGUAACGUACCCCGAACUCUGGGAUAACUGCGGUCUUCGGACCUUUGCGAAAGUGCAGAUAAUACCGGAUGAUAUCUUCGAGUCGUAUGGCAUGAAGAUCAAAGGCUUCGGUUGGUUUGGGAGCGGCCUAUGUCGUAUCAGCUAGUUGGUGAGGUAACGGCUUACCAAGGCUUCGACGCGUAGCGGGACUGAGAGGUUGAUCCGCCACAUUGGGACUGAGACACUGCCCAGACCCCCACGGGGGGCUGCAGUAACGGAUAUUGCGCAAUGGACGAAAGUCUGACGCAGCGACGCCGUGUGUAGGAUGAAGCCCUUCGGGGUGUAAACUACUGUUAGGGUGAAGAAAGGCUUCGGCUUGAUCGAUCCCAAAGAAAGGACCGGCUAACUUCGUGCCAGCAGCCGCGGUAAUACGAAGGGUCCAAGCGUUGUUCGGAAUUACUGGGCUUAAAGCGCACGUAGGCGGGAAAGUAAGUGCCUUGUGAAAUCCCACGGCUUAACCGUGGAAUUGCUCGGCAAACGGCUUUUCUUGAGGCAGACAGGGGUGCAUGGAACUCUAGGUGGAGCGGUGAAAUGCGUAGAUAUCUAGAGGAACGCCAGUGGUGAAAACGGUGCACUGGGUCUGUUCUGACGCUGAGGUGCGAAAGCGUGGGUAGCGAACGGGAUUAGAUACCCCGGUAGUCCACGCCGUAAACGAUGCCUACUAGGUUGUGGUGGUUCUGACACUAUCGCAGCCGGAGCAAAAGUUUUAGGUAGGCCGCCUGGGGAGUACGGUCGCAAGGCUAAAACUCAAAGGAAUUGACGGGGGCUCACACAAGCGGUGGAGCAUGUGGCUUAAUUCGAAGCAACGCGAAGAACCUUAUCCUGGGUUUGACAUACUUGGAUGCCUGCUGUGAAAGCAGUUAGGCUGCCUUCGGGUGAAACUUGUACAGGUGCUGCAUGGCUGUCGUCAGCUCGUGUCGUGAGAUGUCGGGUUAAGUCCCUUAACGAGCGAAACCCUUGCCGUUAGUUACCAGCGGGUCAUGCCGGGGACUCUAGCGGGACUGCCGGUGUUAAACCGGAGGAAGGUGGGGAUGACGUCAAGUCCUCAUGGCCUUUAUGCCCAGGGCUGCACACGUGCUACAAUGGGGUGGACAAACCGACGCGAUGCCGUAAGGUGGAGCAAAUCGGAAAAACCACUCCUCAGUUCGGAUUGUAGGCUGCAACUCGCCUACAUGAAGUUGGAAUCGCUAGUAAUCGCGGAUCAGCAUGCCGCGGUGAAUAUGUUCCUGAGCCUUGUACACACCGCCCGUCAAGUCACGGAAGCUGGAAGUACCUGAAGUCGGGUAGCUAACUUUUUAAGAGGCGCCUGCCGAUGGUAAGUUCGGUAACUGGGGCUAAGUCGUAACAAGGUA